This 468-nucleotide ribosomal RNA is filed under the name uncultured bacterium. Its description in RNAcentral is "partial 16S ribosomal RNA". It matches the Rfam family "Bacterial small subunit ribosomal RNA", at positions 28 to 507 of the family's 1533-position model. The record is from RNAcentral.
GACGAACGCUGGCGGCGUGCUUAACACAUGCAAGUCGAACGGAAAGGCCCUGCUUUUGUGGGGUGCUCGAGUGGCGAACGGGUGAGUAACACGUGAGUAACCUGCCCUUGACUUUGGGGUAACUUCAGGAAACUGGGGCUAAUACCGGAUAGGAGCUCCUGCUGCAUGGUGGGGGUUGGAAAGUUUCGGCCGUUGGGGAUGGACUCGCGGCUUAUCAGCUUGUUGGUGGGGUAGUGGCUUACCAAGGCUUUGACGGGUAGCCGGCCUGAGAGGGUGACCGGCCACAUUGGGACUGAGAGACGGCCCAGACUCCUACGGGAGGCAGCAGUGGGGAAUAUUGCACAAUGGGCGGAAGCCUGAUGAAGCAACGCCGCGUGCGGGAUGACGGCCUUCGGGUUGUAAACCGCUUUCGCUUGUGACGAAGCGUGAGUGACGGUAAUGGGUAAAGAAGCACCGGCUAACUACGUG